Molecule: ribosomal RNA, 492 nt
Filed under: uncultured bacterium
Lineage: Bacteria
Description: partial 16S ribosomal RNA
Rfam family: Bacterial small subunit ribosomal RNA
Source: RNAcentral
AGUGAACGCUGGCGGUAGGCCUAACACAUGCAAGUCGAACGGCAGCACAGUAAGAGCUUGCUCUUACGGGUGGCGAGUGGCGGACGGGUGAGGAAUACAUCGGAAUCUACUUUUUCGUGGGGGAUAACGUAGGGAAACUGACGCUAAUACCGCAUACGACCUACGGGUGAAAGCAGGGGAUCUUCGGACCUUGCGCGAUUGAAUGAGCCGAUGUCGGAUUAGCUAGUUGGCGGGGUAAAGGCCCACCAAGGCGACGAUCCGUAGCUGGUCUGAGAGGAUGAUCAGCCACCCUGGACCUGAGCCACGGUCCAGACUCCUACGGGAGGCAGCAGUGGGGAAUAUUGGACAAUGGGCGCAAGCCUGAUCCAGCCAUCCCGCGUGGGUGAAGAAGGCCUUCGGGUUGUAAAGCCCUUUUGUUGGGAAAGAAAAGCAGCAGGUUAAUACCCCGCUGUUCUGACGGUACCCAAAGAAUAAGCACCGGCUAACUUCGUG